This 406-nucleotide ribosomal RNA is filed under the name uncultured bacterium. RNAcentral describes it as "partial 16S ribosomal RNA". It matches the Rfam family "Bacterial small subunit ribosomal RNA", at positions 30 to 526 of the family's 1533-position model. The record is from RNAcentral.
AUUGAACGCUGGCGGCAGGCCUAACACAUGCAAGUCGAACGAGUGGCGGACGGGUGAGUAAUGCAUGGGAAUCUGCCUUAUGGAGGGGGAUAACUACGGGAAACUGUAGCUAAUACCGCGUACCAUAAGAUGAGCCCAUAUGGGAUUAGGUAGUUGGUGAGGUAACGGCUCACCAAGGCGACGAUCCCUAGCUGGUCUGAGAGGAUGAUCAGCCACACUGGGACUGAGACACGGCCCAGACUCCUACGGGAGGCAGCAGUGGGGAAUAUUGCGCAAUGGGCGCAAGCCUGAUGCAGCCAUGCCGCGUGUAUGAAGAAGGCCUUCGGGUUGUAAAGUUCUUUCGGUAGCGAGGCGUUAACUACAGAAGAAGCACCGGCUAACUCCGUGCCAGCAGCCGCGGUAAUUC